AAGUCGUAACAAGGUUUCCGUAGGUGAACCUGCGGAAGGAUCAUUACUAGAGCCACGGAUCAGACAGCGCCCCGCGGAGCUCGCUCCCCGGGGGCUACCCCGCCCCGGCGGUGGUUUAGAGUCGCAAGGCCUCUCGGAGAAGCCUUGAUCCGGAACUCCACCCUUGAAUACAUUACCCCUGUUGCUUUGGCGGGCCGCCCCGUGCCAGCGGCCUCGGCUGCUGAGCGCCCGCCAGAGACCCCCAACUCUAUGUUUUAGUAGCGUCCGAGUACUAUUUAAUAGUUAAAACUUUCAACAACGGAUCUCUUGGUUCUG
Molecule: unclassified non-coding RNA, 315 nt
Filed under: air metagenome
Description: partial contains small subunit ribosomal RNA, internal transcribed spacer 1, and 5.8S ribosomal RNA
Rfam family: Eukaryotic small subunit ribosomal RNA (bases 1-46)
Source: RNAcentral